CAGCCCUCACCAUCAGGAGAAACCUGGUGUGCACGGAGGUAGCUGCAAAUUUACCGAUGGUCCAGUGGUCGGAUUUUCUAGAGUUCAGAAUUUGGCCUCACAGAGCUGAGCUACUCAAGGCCUCAGAGAGCAGAGCUGUCAAAAUGAUCUAUCACCCAGGACACCGCAGGACAAGGCCAGGAGACGCUGAAGCAUUUGCAGGGUUUUACCUCCUUCCAGAGCUGGUGAUAAAUAAUAAUGCACAUCUGCGUCAUCAACAUGACGGGGAGAUCUUUUUUUAAAUGCAAAAUUGUUUCCAGAAACAUUUUGGCUUGCUAAGAGGUCUUGAUGGUUUUAAAUGCCUCUACCCUCCCUUGGCCUUGGCACAUGACUUGUGCGUGGAAGCAAUCUCUCUCAACUUAAGUUUGAGCUCUUGCUGUCCUUGAAGAAAGACCUCCUGGCUCUGGCCUAAUGUAGCUUCAGUUGGUGACUGGAUUGAACAGUAGGACCGGAGUUGAAUAGAUGGCAGGGCUACCUUGGAGAGCUGGAUGAAUCUCUGAUGAUAAGACUGGGCUGGCCAGCUCAGACACAACCUCCAUAAGGACAAACCUCUCAGUCUGUCUGCUCAUCACUCUAUAAGCAGCACCUGGAAUAGUGCCUAGCACCCACAGGAGGAGUGAAGAACGCUUCCGAAUGUCGCCCUACCACUGCAUUGAUACGUAACC
Molecule: non-coding RNA, 704 nt
Organism: Rattus norvegicus (Norway rat)
Lineage: Eukaryota; Metazoa; Chordata; Mammalia; Rodentia; Muridae
Source: RefSeq, a predicted model, not a curated record